RNAcentral lists this ribosomal RNA (356 nucleotides) under uncultured bacterium. RNAcentral's name for it is "bacterial SSU rRNA". It matches the Rfam family "Bacterial small subunit ribosomal RNA", at positions 29 to 412 of the family's 1533-position model. The record is from RNAcentral.
AACGAACGCUGGCGGCAUGCCUAACACAUGCAAGUCGAACGAAGGCUUCGGCCUUAGUGGCGCACGGGUGCGUAACGCGUGGGAAUCUGCCCUUGGGUUCGGAAUAACUCAGAGAAAUUUGAGCUAAUGCCGGAUGAUGACGUAAGUCCAAAGAUUUAUCGCCCAAGGAUGAGCCCGCGUAAGAUUAGCUAGUUGGUGGGGUAAAGGCCUACCAAGGCGACGAUCUUUAGCUGGUCUGAGAGGAUGAUCAGCCACACUGGGACUGAGACACGGCCCAGACUCCUACGGGAGGCAGCAGUGGGGAAUAUUGGACAAUGGGGGCAACCCUGAUCCAGCCAUUCCGCGUGAGUGAAGAA